This 466-nucleotide ribosomal RNA is filed under the name uncultured bacterium. Its description in RNAcentral is "bacterial SSU rRNA". It matches the Rfam family "Bacterial small subunit ribosomal RNA", at positions 355 to 825 of the family's 1533-position model. The record is from RNAcentral.
UAGGGAAUAUUGGGCAAUGGAGGGAACUCUGACCCAGCCAUGCCGCGUGCAGGAUGAAGGCGUUAUGCGUUGUAAACUGCUUUUAUAUAGGAAGAAAUAGUCCUUGCGAGGAAAGUUGACGGUACUAUAUGAAUAAGCACCGGCUAACUCCGUGCCAGCAGCCGCGGUAAUACGGAGGGUGCAAGCGUUGUCCGGAUUUAUUGGGUUUAAAGGGUGCGUAGGCGGUUUAUUAAGUCAGUGGUGAAAGACGGUCGCUCAACGAUUGCAGUGCCAUUGAUACUGGUAGACUUGAGUAUGAUUGAGGUAGCUGGAAUGGAUAGUGUAGCGGUGAAAUGCAUAGAUAUUAUCCAGAACACCAAUUGCGUAGGCAAGUUACUAAGUCAUAACUGACGCUGAGGCACGAAAGUGUGGGUAUCAAACAGGAUUAGAUACCCGGGUAGUCCCUGAGCGGGCUGGCAAGGCGCAU